GUGUGUGUGUGUGUGUGUGUGUGUGUAGAGAGAAAUGGGGAGGGGGGAUACCUAGCAAUAAAUAUCAUUAUUUUAGUGUUGGACAUAAGAGGAAUAGACAGCAAAAGAAAGAAGAAGGUGUUAAGAGAAAAAAGAACUAAUACAAUGUGAUGUCAUGGAAGUCGUCGAUUCUGGGUUUUAGAAUUAAAAGAAGCUGUCUUAAAGUUAAUUUGGUCCAACGUACAGAUAAAGAAACUAAGGACCAUAGAGGUAAGUGACAUGUCUGAGACUGGAUGGUAAUAAAACUAUAAUAUAAAUUCAGGUUCUUCGACUGCAUAUCUCAUUCUUUUGAGAAGAAGAAUGUACUCAAAAGGAAGACCCUGUCAUCAGUUAAAAAUUAAAGGCCCAUCAUCAUAAUUUAUAGGAAAUUAUAAAAGAUAAACAUAAAAAAUUUGCACAGAGAAAAGCAUUUCAUCCUGAAUAAUAAGAAAAUGCAUAUUGGGGAAAACCUUUUAAGUAUUAAAAAAAUUAAUCAUCUCUGGUAAAAGUUGGAAUCCCCAAAUCUAAAAGAAAUUGACACAUAUUUUGAUAUAAUAUUAAGGUUCAUCCUAUCCAGUGAAAAAAUACAAACUCAACAACUACUUGAAAAAACACUGAAAAUUAUGACAAAGAAAUGCAUAUUAAAGCAUCUUUUAGAUGUACCAUCUUAUACAUCCUUAAAGGAUAAUGAAAGAUGAAAAAAUUUUAACACUGUUGGGGAUGUUAAUUCAUUGGCAAUAGAGCUAUAGAUUGAUUUAUUUUGGAAACAACAUAGAAUAAUACAGUAAAAAUUAGGAAAAUGUUUAAUUCAUUUUGACCCAGGAAUUUCAUAUUUAGUUUUAACCUAAAAGUAUUAGUGAAAGAAAGAAAAGACUUCUAUCUGUGUAAAAAAAAAAAAAAAGUAUUAUCACAUUUAGUAGGAAAAAAAGGAAACUAAUCAGUGAUUAGGAAUAAAAAAGUAGAUGAUGAUAUAUGAGUAGGAUAUCAGCUUUGUAAAGAAUGCAAAAUAUAAAGGGGAAAAAUAAGGGGGAAAGUAAAGUCAUGCAAAGGAAGAGAAAACUUGAACAAAAGAACAACUUGUACAGAAACUACAACUAUGUAAGUGACAUCAAACCAUAGCAGAGUUAGGGUGAAAUUACAAGAAAAUUAUGACAUUGUCCAAGUUAAUGCACAAGUUUUUCCAUUUAUUUUAACAAUUGACUGUAGGAGGGUAGGGUAUAUUUUUACAGUCUUUUGAGCAUUUUGUUUUUGUUUUUAAUUUUUGGUGAUUAUCAUUCAUUUAAAAAAAAUAGCUCCUUAUUUUUCAAGCUACAUACAAAAGAUAGUUUUCAACAUUCACCCUUGCAAAACCUUUUGGUCCAAAUUUUUCUCCCUACCUUCUAUCCCGCGCUAUUCCCUAGACAGCAAGUAAUCUAAUACAGGUUAAACAUGUGCAAUUCUUCUAAAUAUAUUUCUACAUUUAUCAUGCUGCACAAGAAAAAUCAGAUCAAGAAGGAGGAAAAAAAUGAGAAAAAACUAGCAAGUAAACAACAGCAGCAAAGGAGAAAAUAUUAUGUUGUGAUCCACAUUCAGUCCGCAUUGAACCUCUUUCUGAAUAUAAAUGGCUCUCCAUCCAAUUGGAAUUGACCUGAAUCAUCUCAUUGCUGAAAAGAGCCAUGUCCAUUAUGGUUGUUCAGGUGAUUGUCAUAUGAUGCUGCUUAUAUUGUAUUUCUUUGAUUCUUAUUUCUAUGUCUGAACUCUUGUAUGUAUCAAUGGAAGUUAAAAUGUACCUAUGAAAAGAAAAUUCAGAUAAAAAAUACAGAGGAAAUUUUAUCUAGGCUGAGAAAGUUAUGAAAAGUUCAUUAGAUUCAAUGAAUUAAGUCUGAUGACUUUGGUUUCAUUUGAGCUGGUGUGAGAACAUAUUAGUCAAUAUUUAUUACAUUCUUGUUAUAUUCCAGACCCUGAAUUAAGCCAUGGGGAUAUAAAUAAGGGGAAAAAAAGAUAGCCCUUGCCAUUAAAGGAACUUCCAAUCUAAGGGGAGGAAACACAUAAAAGUUGCAAAUAAUAGAGAUAGGGGUAGGGAAAUGGAGGGGAAGACAUUACAUUCUUAGAAAGGUUUCUUGAACUGGGGAUACUAAUGAGUUAUGAAUACCCCAAUUGACAUGAUUUUCCAAUAGAAAGAAAUUACUAGAGGCAUGAUAGAAAAAUCCAGAGGAGGUGCGGCCAAGUAGAAAAUGAAGAGGCUUCAGGCCUAGACUACCUUUUCCCAAGAAGUUUAGUUUUAAAAGGGAAAGAGAUGAGAAGUGCUAACUUGAAGAAGCUUAACAAAUUGUGAAGUUUGGGAGCUGUUUAGUUUGUUUUCUUAAAGCUUGUCUGUUUAAAAGCAGAUGGGAAGGAGCCAAGGAAGAGAGGGGAUGACUGGUGGAUCAGGGCCCUGAAUGGAGUUAAGGAUACAGUCAUCUUGCUACACAAGAAAAAUGAGAUCAAGAAGGAAGAAAAAGAAAAACAGAAAGAAAAUAAAAUGCAAGCAAAUAACAACAGAGAGUGAGAAUGUAUGUUGUGGUCUAUACUCUGUUCCCACAGUUCUCUCUCUGGGUGUAGAUAGUACUCUUCAUCACUGAACAAGUGGAACUGAUUUGAAUCUUCUCACUGUUGAAGAAAGUCACACCCAUCAAAAUUGAUUGUCGUACAUUCUUGUUGCCGUGUCCAAUGAUCUCCUGGUUCUACUUAUUCACUUAGCAUCAGUUCAUGUAGGUCUCUCCAGGACUCUCUGACAUCAUCCUGCUGGUCGUUUCUUUCAGAACAAUAAUAUUCCAUAACAUUCAUAUACCAUAACUUAUUCAGCCAUUCCCCAACGGAUGGGCACCCACUCAUUUUCCAGUUUCUUUCCAAUACAAAAAGGGCUCCCACAAACAUUUUUGCACAUGUGGGUUCCUUUCUCUCCUUUAAGAUCUCUGGGAUAUAAGCCCAGUAGAAACACUGCUGGGUCAAAGGGUACAUACAGUUUGAUGACUUUUUUUGAUUAAAGUUCCAAAUUGCUCUCCAGAUUGGUUGGAUCUAUUCACAACUCCACCAACAAUGCAUCAGUGUCCCAGUUUUCCCACAUCCCCUCCAACAUUCGUGGUUAUUGUUUCCUGUCAUCUUAGCCAAUCUGACAGGGGUAUAGUGGUAUCUCAGAGUUGUCUUAAUUUUAAUUUGCAUUUCUCUAAUCAAUAGUGAUUUGGAACACCUUUUCAUAUGAGUAGAAAUAGGUUUAAUUUUAUUAUCCAAAAAUUGUCUUCAUAUCCUUUGACCAUUUAUCAACUGGAAAAUGAACAAGCCUUCUUUUGCAACAGAUAAUUUAAGUCAAAUCAAAUUCAUCUACUGAUUGGCUGAAGGUGUGUGUCUCAUUCUACAUAUUUGUUUCAUAGUCUUUCUCUGCCCAGAGAUGGACAUGUUUCAUCAUCAGUGUGAAGUCAAGGUUAGUCAUUGCAUUAUUUUGAGUUAAUUCUUUCAAAGUUCUUUUCCUUUAAAUAAUUGUAGUAAUUGUAUGAACCAUUCUAGUGUUCACUUCAUUGUUCCUAAAGUCCUCUCAGAUUGCUCUGAAUCUAUUUUAUAAUUUAUUUACAGUAUUUGUACUGUAUUAUACAAUACAAUUGGUACUUGUGAUGACCAGCACAACACAGAUGGUCUAGUAGCAGUUGAAAAUAAGGAAACGGUUACUGAUAAUUCAACAGAGCUGAUUAUUGAGAGAAAUCAUGUUACUUAUAUAUCUUAAAACCAUAUGUUAUUAUGAAAAACAUUGUUCAUAACCAACUCUGGUUUCUCUUUUCUAUGAUCUAACUCUCUGUAGCAUGUAGUCAAUCUUACUUCAAAUUCAUGAUGCCCCAAUAAUUGUGCCAAGGCUUUAUGUUUUUCCAUGAUCUCAAGGUUAAAUGCGCUCUUGAUUAAUCUUAGGAGGAGGAGAACAUCCCAGUUACUGAAGUUUCUAGCUUCCUGAGAGUUCUCUACAAGUAAUAGUAAUAUUACUAAUAAAUAUCAUUGGGGCAAAAAGUAUAGUUUAAUAAUUUUGGGGAUAUAGUUCCAAAUUAGUUUCCAUAAUCAAACCAAUUCACAGUUCUUCCAACAGGUUCUCUAACAAGUGUUUUCUUUUUUCAUCAGCAUUUUAAAGGCUCUUGGGCAUGAAGUAGAAUCUUAGUGUUGAUUUAAUUUGUAUUUCUCUUGUUAAUGAUUUGAAGCAUUUUUUUAAACAUGGUUCUUGAUUACUUGCAUUCCUCUUUUAAAACUGCUUAGAGAAUCAGUUAUUUUCAUAUAGUUAUAUUAGUUCCCUAUUUAUCUUGCAUAUCAGAUUUUUAUCAGAGAAAUUGUGGUAAAUUUUUCUCUAGCUGUUCUCCUUUCUAAUUUUAAUUGCAUUGAUUUUGUUUGUAAAAAAUUGUGAAUUAUGUGAACAUUUGGGAGCUUGAACUAGAAAAAUUUGAACUAUUUAUUUGGAGAAGGAAUAAAGAUUUUAUAAUGUAAAAAUUCA
Molecule: long non-coding RNA, 4501 nt
Organism: Antechinus flavipes (yellow-footed antechinus)
Lineage: Eukaryota; Metazoa; Chordata; Mammalia; Dasyuromorphia; Dasyuridae
Exons: 2
Source: RefSeq, a predicted model, not a curated record